RNAcentral lists this ribosomal RNA (213 nucleotides) under Varicosporium scoparium. RNAcentral's name for it is "partial large subunit ribosomal RNA". The record is from RNAcentral. Lineage: Eukaryota; Fungi; Ascomycota; Leotiomycetes; Helotiales; Discinellaceae.
AAGCGCUUGCAAUCAGACUUGCGUGCGGUUGAUCAUCCGGUGUUCUCACCGGUGCACUCUGCCGCACUCAGGCCAGCAUCGGUUUUGGUGGUUGGAUAAAGGCCUUGGGAAUGUGACUCCUCUCGGGGAGUGUUAUAGCCCUCGGUGCAAUGCAGCCUACCGGGACCGAGGACCGCGCUUCGGCUAGGAUGCUGGCGUAAUGGUUGUAAGCGA